Molecule: ribosomal RNA, 305 nt
Filed under: uncultured bacterium
Lineage: Bacteria
Description: bacterial SSU rRNA
Rfam family: Bacterial small subunit ribosomal RNA
Source: RNAcentral
GCCUACGGGGGGCAGCAGUAGGGAAUAUUGCUCAAUGGGGGAAACCCUGAAGCAGCAACGCCGCGUGGAGGAUGAAGGUUUUCGGAUUGUAAACUCCUUUUGUUAGAGAAGAUAAUGACGGUAUCUAACGAAUAAGCACCGGCUAACUCCGUGCCAGCAGCCGCGGUAAUACGGAGGGUGCAAGCGUUACUCGGAAUCACUGGGCGUAAAGAGCGCGUAGGCGGGAUAGCAAGUCAGAUGUAAAAUCCUAUGGCUUUACCAUAGAACUGCAUUUGAAACUGUUAUUCUAGAGUAUGGGAGAGGUG